This 253-nucleotide ribosomal RNA is filed under the name uncultured bacterium. RNAcentral describes it as "partial 16S ribosomal RNA". It matches the Rfam family "Bacterial small subunit ribosomal RNA", at positions 57 to 305 of the family's 1533-position model. The record is from RNAcentral.
GCAAGUCGAACGAGAAAGCUCUUCGGGGUGAGUACAGUGGCGCACGGGUGAGUAACGCGUAGAUGAUGUGCCUUUUAGUUGGGGACAACCUCGGGAAACCGGGGCUAAUACCGAAUAAGCUUAGUUGACUUGAAAGAUACUAAGGAAAGGGGGCUUCGGCUCUCGCUAAGAGAUCGGUCUGCGUAGCAUUAGCUUGUUGGUGGGGUAAUGGCCUACCAAGGCGACGAUCCCUAGCUGGUCUGAGAGGAUGAUC